GCUGCAGCAGCCACAUACCCAACUGUCAAGAAACCUGGGCUGGCCAGGCAGGGAUGAAUCCGUGGGGAGCCUGGAGUGGAGGACGGGGUGGGGCCUGGGAACUUGCCGGCGUUGGCUCCUCUGUGCAGCCUAGCAGCUGAGGCUUUGUCAGAACAUGCUUUUACGUGUGAAAAGUGUGCAAUGCCUUCCAGAGAGGGCCUUAGCGAUGGGGAGGUUCCAGUCGGAAGGAAGCUGCGGGCCACACGAUAACAAGGACAUCCUGCUGAUGCUGAGUGACAUGGACAUCAACGCCAUCGCCGGGACGCUCAAGCUCUACUUCCGGGAACUGCCCGAGCCGCUCCUCACGGACCGACUCUACCCAGCCUUCAUGGAGGGCAUCGCCCUGUCAGACCCUGCUGCCAAGGAAAACUGCAUGAUGCACCUGCUCCGCUCCCUGCCCGACCCCAACCUCAUCACCUUCCUCUUCCUGCUGGAACACUUGGUUGCCGAGAAGGAGCCCAUCAACAAAAUGUCACUUCACAACCUGGCUACCGUGUUUGGACCCACGUUACUGAGACCCUCAGAAGUGGAGAGCAAAGCACACCUCACCUCGGCUGCGGACAUCUGGUCCCAUGACGUCAUGGCACAGGUCCAGGUCCUCCUCUACUACCUGCAGCACCCCCCCAUUUCCUUCGCAGAAC
RNAcentral lists this small RNA (680 nucleotides) under Pongo abelii (Sumatran orangutan). RNAcentral describes it as "processed transcript". The record is from RNAcentral. Lineage: Eukaryota; Metazoa; Chordata; Mammalia; Primates; Hominidae.